RNAcentral lists this ribosomal RNA (593 nucleotides) under Diaporthe rudis. RNAcentral's name for it is "eukaryotic LSU rRNA". It matches the Rfam family "Eukaryotic large subunit ribosomal RNA", at positions 35 to 653 of the family's 3401-position model. The record is from RNAcentral. Lineage: Eukaryota; Fungi; Ascomycota; Sordariomycetes; Diaporthales; Diaporthaceae.
UAAGCAUAUCAAUAAGCGGAGGAAAAGAAACCAACAGGGAUUGCCCUAGUAACGGCGAGUGAAGCGGCAACAGCUCAAAUUUGAAAUCUGGCCUCGGCCCGAGUUGUAAUUUGCAGAGGAUGUUUCUGGCGCGGUGCCUUCCGAGUUCCCUGGAACGGGACGCCAAAGAGGGUGAGAGCCCCGUAUGGUCGGACACCAAGCCUGUGUGAAACUCCUUCGACGAGUCGAGUAGUUUGGGAAUGCUGCUCUAAAUGGGAGGUAAAUCUCUUCUAAAGCUAAAUACCGGCCAGAGACCGAUAGCGCACAAGUAGAGUGAUCGAAAGAUGAAAAGCACCUUGAAAAGGGGGUUAAAUAGUACGUGAAAUUGUUGAAAGGGAAGCACUUAUGACCAGACUUGGGCCGGGCGGCUCAUCAGGGGUUCUCCCCUGUGCACUCCGCCCGGCACAGGCCAGCAUCGGUUCUCGUGGGGGGAUAAGACCGUCAGGAACGUAGCACCCUCCGGGGUGUGUUAUAGCCUGGCGGACGAUACCCUCGUGGGGACCGAGGUUCGCGCUCCGCAAGGAUGCUGGCGUAAUGGUCAUCAGUGACCCGUC